UCCCUGAAUCUAGAGGACAACUUAAAUGUCAAGUUUGUUAAAUUUAUUUUGCAGGCAGGGACUUGCGGAGUGACAUGAUCAUGUUCCAAUCCCAGGAGGCAUGAGAAGGAGAAACCCAUGGGAUAUGCUGAGACCCAGAGAGAAUAUCAGAUGUUUGAUGGUUCACAAGCAGGUGUUAACAGGGAGCUGUGCAAACUGUAAGUAGCUGUUUCACUGGACCUACUUUUGGGAGUAAAUUGAAGGUGAUCUCAGCUGAGGGUAAGCAAAGUGAGAUUUGUGACCAUGCACCCAGCAGGCAUCAAGAGCAGAGUCUGAACCUUGAACCUCAAUAUUGAAUUUUGCCACAUCAGCUUAAAAGGCUAUUCUAUCAUGUUAGGUAUAAUAGAAGAAUUUGAGUGUUGCUGAACCGAUGGUCCAGGAAAUAUGCAAGAAGUAAGGUGAAGGGAAGCAGGGGGGAGUUGUUGAUAUCUUUUAUGGGCUUCUAGAUCCCGCGCCAGUAUCUGCUGCUGCUUAUUCAGUGAUGUAGGCCCAUCCUUUCUGAAUAUUCACAUUCUGUCGUUAUUCUGACAUGCUGCCAUUUCCCCCCUGAGGAAUGCAAGCAAGAAAAGGAUAACGGUGGCUUUCUAUCUACUGCAAAAAGACCUUAAAGACAAAAAGGUCACAGAGAACCCUCUCUUCUGAAAAUGUGUAAGUGUAGGUGAAUGGGGCAUGAAGGACUGCUAGGGGUUGGGGAAGAGAGAAGAUGUAUAAAUUAAGAUGUGCAGGCCUUUAACAACCCAUGCUGAAACUAUAAGAGGGUCAUAGUGGGGCUUAACUUAAAAAACAGGAAACGCUGGCUGGAGCAAUAUGCUUUCCUUCCCAUGAACUGUAUUAUUUGCAAAAUAUGCAGAUGAUUUUUACAGAAUUUUCAAUAGGAACAUGUUGGUGUUUAUUGCCCAGAAUAUUUCAUUUGUGAGGUAAAUUCUCUCUACCUUGCUUAGGAUUUCAACAUUUGUAAGUCGCUGCUCACUCCAGGAGUAUCUUUAAUGGCUCAUAUUAAUUCAAGGUGUCCCUUUAUGCACUUAAAAAAACCCCUUCCUUUUAAUGACAUUUCCAUUUAUUCAGAAUUAUUAUUUAAAAUCCUAAAUUAGCAUUCUGCGCUUGGAUUCUGACAGAGCCAUUACAUUUUAUACUGAAAGGGUUUAGUUAAUUUAAAAUUAUUAAACCCCAUUGGCUGCAUGAUGGGAGCAUCUUUAAGCAAAUUUCUAUAUUUCAGGUGUAUGCUAACAGCAUACAAGUGCAAACUGGAUUAGGAUCCGUUUGCCUUUGUUGCUUACAUUCUUAUAUAUGGCAAAGUUGUUAUUCUAGGUUUCACCUGCUGUCCUGAAGUAGCUAAAACUAAAUAACAGAUGAACAUGCUAGCAGCAAUAUAAAUAACAACCUGUCCUCUGUCUGUCCCAAGGUGCACUGAUGAUGUUGCUUUUCAAACUAAAGCCAGUGAAACUGACAUAAGUAAUUAUGAGUAUUCUUCUGCUUUUUUUUAGAUCAAGCUGCAAUAAAAGAAAGAAUAUGAAAACUCAUGUCGCAAAUUGUAUGCUGUCAACUAUUUCUGUUUAUUUUGAAUUUAAAAAAAUGCAACUACGUCAUUCAGAAGAAUUAUUUCACUUUGUUCAAACAACAAAACCUCAAAUAUAUUACACAAGAGAGGAUAUGAAACAAGGAAACAUCACUAUGGUGAGAGUUGAGUAAUUUCUAUUUAGAAAGAUUUACCUGUGUGUCUUUUACAUAAACACUAGUUGAACGACUAGGAAAAGUUGGGUCAUCUACUGGCAUCUGUUUCUUUGCAUGAGCUAUCCCAAGAGAAUAAUACUUAUUGAGCUAACAUGAGUUACAUGAUGGACCAUAAUCCAGAGUUUUCAAAUUGUCUUGGCAGCUGUUCACUUGUUGAAUAGCUCUGUGACUUUCUAAGGAAUUCUUUGCUCGAUCCUGUCAAGGCAAAGAAAGAGUCUUGAUAUAUACAAAAUGCUAUCUAUGCUUUUGUCUUGAAUAAUCUCUCUUCACAACAUGCUCAUCUAUGAAGCCUGACUUUACUGUUGAGAAGAGACUGCCAGAAUUCUUUUAGCCUUAGGAUUUUUUUUCUCUGCUGUUGCUGUAAUGGACUUUCUUUAGGUCAGCUCCAUGGUAUUCCUAGAUUUGCUUAUACUCAAUACGUUCCCCUUGUUUGUGUUGUUUUUUGUUGGCCUGAAUAAUGGCUUCCCUGGGAAAAGCAGGCGUUGUGUGCUUGAAGAUGUCGGUUCCAAGGGACAGGGACCUGGGAAACAGCACCCCCAAAAGGAAUGAAAUAACUUACUCAUAACUCUGCAGCAAGGGAAGAAAAGAGUAAAGCUGUGAUUUUUAUCAGCCCUGUCUGCAGUCUUGAGUAUAAAGCUUUAUUUUAGACCGUAGGGCCCCACUUCUACGUUGAGAUCUGCAUCGAUAGAGGAAUCUGCCCACAUACGAUUCACUGCAGGCUAUACAGUUGCAACCUGACAGAACUUGAAAUUUAAAUUUAUCAUGAUACCUGUAGACAUAUAGGAGGUAGUAGGCAAAACAGAUCAAAGUAGGAAGACAAAAUAUCUAGAAUAUAGUUUUAGAAGUGAUGAAAUACCUCAUGCUUGUUUCUAGAUGUGUUUUGGGGUUUUGUUUUAUUAAUGCAGGUCAUUGUUUGGUGGUGUAAC
Long non-coding RNA from Gavialis gangeticus (Gharial), 2696 nucleotides. RefSeq lists it as uncharacterized. NCBI's taxonomy places the organism in Eukaryota, Metazoa, Chordata, Crocodylia, Gavialidae. The transcript has 4 exons. The record is from RefSeq and is a predicted model, not a curated record.